RNAcentral lists this long non-coding RNA (471 nucleotides) under Setaria italica (foxtail millet). RNAcentral describes it as "long non-coding RNA (SITA_LNC006975)". Lineage: Eukaryota; Viridiplantae; Streptophyta; Magnoliopsida; Poales; Poaceae. The record is from RNAcentral.
AUAUGUAUAGUCGAACUUAAUUAUUACCUUUGAUAUCAAUAUCUUUAUGAAGAUUUGGAUUUGACAUUUAAAUAAGCUCUCUAGUAUCAUGCAGCACUGUAAUGUUGCGAAACUUAUUACAAUUGAAAAAAAAACAAAAAUCAAGAAUGAACCGUGGCAGACCUGAAUAGCAUUGGUUACAAUUUCGUGAUUCCAUAUACUUGGCUCAAUCUGAUCUGAUAUGAUGAGUCUGUACUCCAAACUGUUUACUUACUGUUGAUGCAGAGAAAAUUGAAAAUCAUCAAGAAUGCAACUUUUGCCGCCGUUGAGCCGAGUCACCAGUACUGCACUUUUACUUAGUUUUGGAAUUUUGCGAUAUGAUUAUUCACACUUUUGGUAUCAAUCGUAAAAAGAAAUAAUCAUAUCGAUCGAUGUCACUAAGGCUUCGGGUGCUGUUGAUAUUACCAUCGUGUAUGCAUAAUGGAUUUGUGC